Molecule: long non-coding RNA, 830 nt
Filed under: Cyanistes caeruleus (blue tit)
Lineage: Eukaryota; Metazoa; Chordata; Aves; Passeriformes; Paridae
Description: lncRNA (ENSCCEG00000019434.1)
Source: RNAcentral
CUUUAAAGGAAUUUGCCCGGGGGAAGAAGACAGCUGCUGCCCUGAUGAGGGAUUUUUCUGAGCAGGCCUCCCGAGCCAGACAUGUCAGUGUGAGAUGCUGCCCACGUUUUUCAUCGUGACCAACAGGACCCACCAGAGAGGGGAUUUUGGGAGCAUUUCACAAGGCCUGCGGCUGUGAGCUGGUUCCAGCAUGAGGAAAAGCCCUCCUUCACCCCAAUGCACAGGAAAGAGAAGACAGAUGACAGUAGCUAUCCUCCUUCCAUUCUGAGGAAAAGGCCACCUGUGGACCAAGCUGUGGGGGAAAAGCGGAGAGCAGAGAGAAGGGUUCGAUUUCGUGAGCCAGAAGAAGUCAUUGAACAUGUCAUUUCCUGCUGUGACUACGUUGUGGGUAAGUUGAAUUUUUCACAUUAUAACUGUGAGCCAUCCAUAGCAUUAACCUGAGUUUGAUUUUCAGCUGGUGGGGUGCACUGUGCAAAUAUACCCUCCAUUUACACAGCAUUUUGUGUUGUCAGUGGUUGUUGCUUUUUCUUCUCAGAGUAAGCAGCACAAUGAUGUGCUCUGGUGCAAUUUUAAACAAGACAUCUAGUAAGACAGAUAGUGGAAACAAAAAUUAAAUCCCUGAAGCUAUUUUUAAUUUAAAUAUAAUUAAUAUAUUUUUAUGGCAUUAGAAUAGGUACAGGUUUCUCACUAAGAUAUGCAAGGAAAGCACCCCAAGCUAAACAAUAGUUCUCCCCGCCGAGUUCCACAUGAGGGAAAGAGACAAUUCAUUUAUAUGCUGACAGCAGGGUAGAAAUAAUAAAAAUAAUUGUUUUUUUCUCUUUUCUGUUUGA